This 839-nucleotide ribosomal RNA is filed under the name uncultured Bacteroidota bacterium. Its description in RNAcentral is "bacterial SSU rRNA". It matches the Rfam family "Bacterial small subunit ribosomal RNA", at positions 555 to 1398 of the family's 1533-position model. The record is from RNAcentral. Lineage: Bacteria; Pseudomonadati; Bacteroidota.
UGGGUUUAAAGGGAGCGUAGGCCGGAGAUUAAGCGUGUUGUGAAAUGUAGACGCUCAACGUCUGCACUGCAGCGCGAACUGGUUUCCUUGAGUACGCACAAAGUGGGCGGAAUUCGUGGUGUAGCGGUGAAAUGCUUAGAUAUCACGAAGAACUCCGAUUGCGAAGGCAGCUCACUGGAGCGCAACUGACGCUGAAGCUCGAAAGUGCGGGUAUCGAACAGGAUUAGAUACCCUGGUAGUCCGCACGGUAAACGAUGGAUGCCCGCUGUUGGUCUGAACAGGUCAGCGGCCAAGCGAAAGCAUUAAGCAUCCCACCUGGGGAGUACGCCGGCAACGGUGAAACUCAAAGGAAUUGACGGGGGCCCGCACAAGCGGAGGAACAUGUGGUUUAAUUCGAUGAUACGCGAGGAACCUUACCCGGGCUUGAAUUGCAGAGGAAGGAUUUGGAGACAAUGACGCCCUUCGGGGCCUCUGUGAAGGUGCUGCAUGGUUGUCGUCAGCUCGUGCCGUGAGGUGUCGGCUUAAGUGCCAUAACGAGCGCAACCCCUCUCCUUAGUUGCCAUCAGGUUAAGCUGGGCACUCUGGGGACACUGCCACCGUAAGGUGUGAGGAAGGUGGGGAUGACGUCAAAUCAGCACGGCCCUUACGUCCGGGGCUACACACGUGUUACAAUGGCAGGUACAGAGAGACGGUUGUACGUAAGUACGAUCAAAUCCUUAAAGCCUGUCUCAGUUCGGACUGGGGUCUGCAACCCGACCCCACGAAGCUGGAUUCGCUAGUAAUCGCGCAUCAGCCAUGGCGCGGUGAUACGUUCCCGGGCCUUGCACUCACCGCCCGUC